RNAcentral lists this ribosomal RNA (492 nucleotides) under uncultured bacterium. RNAcentral's name for it is "partial 16S ribosomal RNA". It matches the Rfam family "Bacterial small subunit ribosomal RNA", at positions 29 to 507 of the family's 1533-position model. The record is from RNAcentral.
AUUGAACGCUGGCGGCAUGCUUUACACAUGCAAGUCGAACGGUAACAGGCCUUCGGGUGCUGACGAGUGGCGAACGGGUGAGUAAUGCAUCGGAACGUACCCAGAGGUGGGGGAUAACGCAGCGAAAGCUGUGCUAAUACUGCAUGUGAUCUGAGGAUGAAAGCGGGGGACCGAGCAGCAAUGUUUGGCCUCGCGCCUUUGGAGCGGCCGAUGUCGGAUUAGCUAGUUGGUGGGGUAAAGGCCUACCAAGGCGACGAUCCGUAGCUGGUCUGAGAGGACGACCAGCCGCACUGGGACUGAGACACGGCCCAGACUCCUACGGGAGGCAGCAGUGGGGAAUUUUGGACAAUGGGCGCAAGCCUGAUCCAGCAAUGCCGCGUGCGGGAAGAAGGCCUUCGGGUUGUAAACCGCUUUUGGCAGGAACGAAACGGUGUCCGCUAAUACCGGGCGCUAAUGACGGUACCUGCAGAAUAAGCACCGGCUAACUACGUG